GUGCGAGGCACGUGGCGGUCUUGAGAAUUCCAUUACUACAAGGGGACGGUUAACCUGCAGUUGGGCAGAACCAUCUACAGAAGCAACCAGCCUUGUGUCCAGCCCAGAACCUCUGACCAUGAGCGAAUCGGUCAGAAUACGUCACCUUGGGAGGAGCCACAACCUUUUUUUUCAGGUCUCAGACAUUUCUGUAGGCCCCUAGAAAGCUCACAGACCCUGAGCACAUGCCCCAAGUGCCUGACAGAGUCCCACAAGAAUUCCGUGACUAAAGGCCUCGCGGUUCCAACCUAUACCAUUCCCGGGAGCUUCAGAGUGCGAGCAGAAGCAGCCUUUAGAUCUGGACAUGAGACCCCCGACCCCUUCCCUGCCCGAGGACAGCAGACUCAGCCAUCCUCCAAGCAGCACAUAAACCACACAUCAGUCACCCAGUGAUACAAAGAGGUGGCCCAUCGUGUCUGAAGCAGUCAUUUGUAAAUCACAACCCAGGCAGUGUUGCUUUUCUGCAAACAGAAGGAAAGUCGGCUCCAUGGUUCUUGAAGAUUUGUCCAAGCUUUCCACUGGGUGUCAAGAUUUCUGUCCCAACCUCUUAGUCACCAUUUACAGCAAGAAAAGCCAGCGAGUGAAAAACUGUUAAUUUAUUGAUUCAAUGAGAGUUUUCUCUUUUUAAACAAUCCCCAAUACAUGCAGUUCAGGAUUAACCAUCACAUUUGUAGCACAUUGUUGAGACUCUACACAAAGGUAUGCAUCACCUGUAUAUCCCAUCACAUCGUUUUCCCCAGCCUCUAUACCACCUUGUUCGGGUCGUUUUCAUUAACACAUCCAUAUAGCUCAAAAAACGUACGUUCUUACCAGUCUUCUUAGCCAGCUGUUUCCCCGCCACCUCCCCUCCCUCCUGUUCCCACCCUGGGGUUAGUUUUUAAAGGCAGGACAUUACUGUCUUAGAUUUGUUAAGCUCACUGACAAACUUUGGCUUCUUGUGUGCUCACGUGGACCUUGCUUUUGCUUUUGAAAGGGGUUAUAUUUCAAUGACCUUGACUCUGAUCAGUUAUUAUCCACUCCUAUUUAUUUGCAGGAGGGAAGUGUGCUUUUUCCCGUGGGUGCUCAUGCAGAAACAAGGGUUACUAAAUGAAUCAUUUAACCUGAACUGGCAUUAAAGGAAACUGUUAACUGGGCUCUCUCAGCUCCGUUUCAAUAUAAAAAUUUUUCCAACUGUCGCUUGCAUCCCAAAAUAAUUCUGCUUCCAUCCUCAUCGACGCAGCACCUGGGAGAACCUAAGUCAUUUCCCUGAGUAGGUGCAGCCUGAGACCCACAGCCGUCCCGUCAGCUCUCUCUGGGCCUCAGCAUCUGCCUUGAGAGCACCACCUUUCGGUCCCACUGGAACCAAUCCAGGGGCAGCGCCCAUCUCAGGGCACAUUCCAAGUUUUCAUGUCCCCUAGUUUUCUCCCCUCAAGAGGUCAUGGUCCCUCCUCAAGAUCUACCUUUUGCCUGUUUUUCUUAUUGGUUCCCUUUCUCCCUUUAAUAGCCCCUCUCCCAGCUCCCAAGGAUUACAAGCUCUUCUAUCUCCUCUAAUCAGUCUGAGAGCACUUCCUUCUCUGCAAAGAAAUACAUUUGCUUUGAGC
Equus asinus (donkey) is the source of this 1619-nucleotide long non-coding RNA. The record is from Ensembl. NCBI's taxonomy places the organism in Eukaryota, Metazoa, Chordata, Mammalia, Perissodactyla, Equidae.